This 253-nucleotide ribosomal RNA is filed under the name uncultured bacterium. RNAcentral describes it as "partial 16S ribosomal RNA". It matches the Rfam family "Bacterial small subunit ribosomal RNA", at positions 524 to 776 of the family's 1533-position model. The record is from RNAcentral.
GACAGAGGGUGCAAACGUUGCUCGGAAUCACUGGGCGUAAAGGGCGUGUAGGCGGGAAGGAAAGUCAGAUGUGAAAGCCCCGGGCUCAACCUGGGAAUGGCGAUGGAUACUGGCUCGCUAGAGUGCGGUAGAGGAGAGUGGAAUUCCCGGUGUAGCAGUGAAAUGCGUAGAGAUCGGGAGGAACAUCAGUUGCGAAGGCGGCUCUCUGGACCAGCACUGACACUGAGGCACGAAAGCGUGGGGAGCAAACAGG